UUGGUAUUGUACUUAAUCUCAUUCGCUGUUGCUUUCUAUUGGCCGUUGAUAUAUUUUGUCAGAGUUUUACAGAUGGCUAUCUUUGUUUCUCAUCGUUUUCUCCUUUGAAUGGUUGAUUCUUAUUGAAUUCUGACUAUUGCUUGAAAGUUUACGAUGGACUUGUUGUUGUAACAAAAUUAUCUUGCUGUAAACUCUUGGUUUUGACAUUUUAACAGCUAAACUGAUAAAUUGUUAAUUCUUGUAUUUUUAAAAAGCCUGAAAUGAUUCUUUGUUGAAAGUCCAUCUUUAAUGAGUUGCGUAUGAUGGAACUACUCACGACAAAAAGAAAACAUGGUUGGUCAAACUGAUAAAUGGUUCUUUCUUGUGUUUAUGGAAAACCUCAAAUGAUUCUUUGUUAAAGGUCCAUCUUAACUGUGUUUCGUUUGGUCCAAAUAUGUGCGGUGGAAAGAAAACAUGGAUGGUUAAACUGAUAAAUGGUCGUUCUUGUGUUUAUAGAAUACCUCAAAUGAUUCUUCGUUAAAGGUCCAUCUUAAUUGUGUUGCGUUUGCUCCAAAUAUGUGCGGUGGAAAGAAAACAUGGCUGAUUAAACUGAUAAAUGGUCUCUCUUGUGUUUAUAGAAUACCUCAAAUGAUUCUUCGUUAAAGGUCCAUCUUUACUGUAAUGCUGUAAACUAAACUUUUUCUGGUGAUCUUUUGUGCGGCUUCCUCGUGAGGAAUAUAAACAGCUUGUUUACCAAUCUAAGAUAUUCUUGGCUAUCUAGACAAGACUCUAAUCGUAUAUGACUAUGUUAAAGAGCAUCAAGAGCUGUUUUAAUCUAUGUUGUGCUAGAGAGGGCUUAUCUUGGUAUUGUACUUAAUCUCAUUCGCUGUUGCUUUCUAUUGGCCGUUGAUAUAUUUUGUCAGAGUUUUACAGAUGGCUAUCUUUGUUUCUCAUCGUUUUCUCCUUUGAAUGGUUGAUUCUUAUUGAAUUCUGACUAUUGCUUGAAAGUUUACGAUGGACUUGUUGUUGUAACAAAAUUAUCUUGCUGUAAACUCUUGGUUUUGACAUUUUAACAGCUAAACUGAUAAAUUGUUAAUUCUUGUAUUUUUAAAAAGCCUGAAAUGAUUCUUUGUUGAAAGUCCAUCUUUAAUGAGUUGCGUAUGAUGGAACUACUCACGACAAAAAGAAAACAUGGUUGGUCAAACUGAUAAAUGGUUCUUUCUUGUGUUUACGGAAAACCUCAAAUGAUUCUUUGUUAAAGGUCCAUCUUAACUGUGUUUCGUUUGGUCCAAAUAUGUGCGGUGGAAAGAAAACAUGGAUGGUUAAACUGAUAAAUGGUCUUUCUUGUGUUUAUAGAAUACCCUAAAUGAUUCUUUGUUAAAGGUCCAUCUUAACUGUGUUUCGUUUGGUCCAAAUAUGUGCGGUGGCAAGAAAACAUGGAUGGUUAAACUGAUAAAUGGUCUUUCUUGUGUUUAUAGAAUACCUCAAAUGAUUCUUUGUUAAAGGUCCAUCUUAACUGUGUUUCGUUUGGUCCAAAUAUGUGCGGUGGAAAGAAAACAUGGAUGGUUAAACUGAUAAAUGUUCUUUCUUGUGUUUAUAGAAUACCUCAAAUGAUUCUAUGUUAAAGGUCCAUCUUUAAUGAAUCUUUGUUGUCGCACGACUUACGGCAAAAAGACGACAUGGUCGGUUAAAUUGAUAAAUGUUCCUUGCUUGUGCUCAAAGAAAAACAUUCAAUAAUUCUUCGGUAAAGUUCCAUCUUGAACGAAUUGUGUUUGGUCAAUCUACUGACAGUGAAAAGAGUUGCGUUUGGUCGAACCAUGUGUGGUGAAAAGAAAAUAUGGCUGUUGAAACUGACUAAUGGUCCUGGCUUCUCUUUAUUAAAAGUCAUAAAUAUCUCUUGGUUCAAGGUCCAUCUUAAAGGUGCUUUUUUUUGUCAAAAUUCGCUAAUUGAAUACAACACCGGGGUUUUAAAACUGUUGAAUGCUCUAUCCCUGUAGUGAAAAAGGUGAGUUUAUACUUUGUUCUUGGUUAAAGAGCCAUGUUUGGUCAACAUUUGUUUGAUGGUGGGAAAAAAGGACUAUUUCAUUUAACUUUUUUUUAUUUAAAAAUUUGCAUAAAUUCUUGAAAUGUUGAUUGGUGAAAAGUUCUUGAUAAAGAGGCAUUGAAUGCUGAUAAUAGUCAAAUUAUAUAUCUGACUAUAUAUCUGAAAACUAUAAAUUAUUUUUCGAUUCAAAGCAGCAGCAAUUUUGAAGUUAACUUGAUAAAGUAAAAAAUUGAAGAAAAUAUUAGUCUAGCUAUAAAUUUCUGCCUAAGUACCCAUUGACAACAGUUUUCAAAGAACAAUAAAUCUAACUUUUUUUAAGAGUUCUUUUUAAGCAUUGGCUGCCAAGAGCCUUCAACUCAAGAUGUGGUAAUGUAACCAACUCAAGUGGUAAUCUUUAUGGGUAUUUUUUUAUAUAUAUUAUAAUACAUCAGAUUAUGAUCAUUUAUGGUUGAAAUUCAAACAGAGAUCUUUAAAUUGCAGAAUUCUAACGGAAAGUAAACGCUUUUGCAUAGUACUUGAUAGAAUAUUUUCCAAUGAAACCUGGACAGAUAUAUUAUUAAAAGUGAUAUUUAUUCGUGAUCUUAAUGUUGCUGUGAAAGUAGAAAUAUUUCUGUUUAAUAAAAUUAGAGCUAGGAGAAAAAAUUCAACUUGUUAAUCUCCAGAUCUAGAACAACUUUAAUUGCAAUAUUUUUCCACCAUGUAAAGCAGAUUUGCUAACAGAUUUAAUUGCUUGAAAUAACUUCUUAUUCAUGCAUACCAUAGAGCUGGACACCGUGGCGAGUUGACUGGAGACUGCUGCAAAAAGGCGAAAUGGCAAUUCCUGUUGCCAACGAAGCUAAAGAGCCAACAGACGAUAAUUAAAUGGAGAUAAAUGCUGUUUAGCUGAAGAGUCGAAAAAGAUCGAUAUGAAAAAUAUGAUUCUUUGGAACUCAGAGACAUGACAUUCCAAUGCCGAAAAAGCUAUUGAGCAGAAUACAUUCAUUGCAGCAUUCCAGGAGAAAACUGCUAAAGGCACAAGGAGUAGGUGAGUUUGUUUCAAUCGCACUUUCUAAACAGUUGUUUGAAUAUAUUCAUAUCGUGUUUAUUAUGCUCAAUAUUCCACCCGAGGCCGACGUGUGAAAAAGGCAAUAAUUCAAAGAUUUCAGGUUACAAAAAAGCAGUCUAAAAUUAUCUGAUGGUGAACAGUUGUUCAGGUGUACUACAUAUAUUCUUGCAACAGAAAAUUGUAAAAUAAAGAAAGAUAGCAAUACAAUUUACAAAGAAGAAUGGAACUGAACAUAUUUACAUCAAUUUUCUACAUUUGAUGUUGGGUAUUUAAGUGACUCGCUGUCUACUUAAAUCGGAUAAGAAAUAGGCUUUUCUUUAAAAAGAUCUACAUUCAAUGAUAAGAAAAUAUGCGAAUGAAUUCAAAACGCUGGUGCUUCGAGGAGUCUCAUUUUAUUGGCUAUUUAACAGCGCGCUUGAAUUUUAACUCGUUUCCAUUCUACGAAAGCAGAGGAGAGGGUGUAUCAAAAAAUCAUUGUCGUCAUUGUCGUUUUGAGUUCCAGUUGGUCGUUUUCAUCGUAUUUAUCGACGUCGUUUUGGCCAGCAUGUUUGUCACAUUGAAGAGUUUUGAACUUUUGCACGUACAAUUAAUGCUGUCAACUAAGCUUGUUCUGGGGAUCUUUUGUGCGGCUUCCUCAUGAGGAAGAUAAACAGCUUGUUUACCAAUCUAAGAUAUUCCUGGCUAUCUAGACAAUGCUAUGAUCGUAUAUGAUCAUGUUAAAGAGCAGCAAGAGCUGUUUGAAUCUAUGUUGUGUUAGAGAGGGCUUCUCUUGGUAUUGUUCUUAAUCUCAUUCGCUGUUGCUUUCUAUUGGCCGUUGAUUUAUUUUGUCAGUGUUACAGAUGGCUAUCUUUCUUUCUCAUCUUUUUCUCCUUUGAAAGGCUGAUUCUUAUUGAAUUCUGACUAUUGCUUGGAAGUUUACGAUGGACUUGUUGUUGUAACAAAUUUAUCUUGCUGUAAACUCUUGGUUUUGACAUUUUAACAACUAAACAGAUAAAUGGUCAUUUCUUGUAUUUUUAAAAAGCCUGAAAUGAUUCUUUGUUGAAGAUCCAUCUUUAAUGAGUUUCGUAUGGUCGAAUUACUCACGGCAAAAAGAAAACAUGGUUGGUCAAACUGAUAAAUGGUUCGUUCUUGUGUUUAUGGAAAACCUAAAAUGAUUCUUCGUUGAAGGUCCAUCUUAGUUGAAUAGUAUUUAAUCGAACUACAGUAGAAACCCGCAUAAAAUAACCUGUUUUUAUAAAGAACAUUGAGGCUGCAAUUUAACCUUCAAAUCCCCAUAAUUAAGAAACUCCAAGAGGCUGAAGAUUGGGAGGGUUCUUAAAUAUAUAAAAGAUGAAAUGGUUUUUAGAGUAAACCAGGUUAUGGUAUGUUGUAUGCUACUUGGACAGUCUCACAGGACAAAUUCAUUAGAUUGGUUGAAAUUUAACAUAAAAAAGCUGGUUCAAGUGUGUCCAUUAGAAUUUUUGCGGUGGAAAACAUUGUUAAUGUAUGCAAGUCCUGUACGUAUAAGAGACUUGUUAAGAAACUUUUAGACUGAAAUUUAGAAUAGCAGCCUGUUAAUUAGGAACCUAUUCAGGCUGCCUGAUAAAAACUUAGGUUCUUUUAUGCGCGUUUGUACUGUACUUACGAAGAAAAGAAAAAAAUAGCUGCUUAAACUGAUAAAUGGUUCAUUCAUAAAUUUCUUAAAAGACUGAAAUGGUUCUUUGUUUAAUGUCCACCUUUAAUGUGUUGCUUAUAGUCCAAAUACGUGCGGUGGAAGGAAAAAAAGGCUGGUAAAACUAAUGAAUGGUCCUUCAUUGUCCUUAAAGAAAACCUUGAAUGAUUCUUCGUCAAAGAUCGAUCUUAACAGUGUUGCGUUUGGUCCAAAUAUGUGCGGUGGAAAGAAAACAUGGCUCGUUAAACUGAUAAAUGGUCUUUCUUGUGUUUAUAGAAUACCUCAAAUGAUUCUUCGUUAAAGGUCCAUCUUAAAUGAAUCUUUGUUUUCGAACGACUUACGGCAAAAAGAAAACAUGGAUGGUUAGACUGAUAAAUGGUCUUUCUUGUGUUUAAAGAAUACCUCGAAUGAUUCUUCGUUAAAGGUCCAUCUUAAAUGAAUCUUUGUUUUCGAACGACUUACAGCAAAAAGAAAACAUGGUCGGCUGAACUGAUAAAUGGUCCUUUCUCGUGUUUAUGGAAAACCUUAAAUUAUUCUUCAUUAAAGGUCCAUCUUAACUGUGUUUCGUUUGGUCCAAAUAUGUGCGGUGGAAAGAAAACAUGGCUCGUUUAACUGAUAAAUGGUCUUUCCUGUGUUUAUAGAAUACCUCAAAUGAUUCUUCAUUAAAGGUCCAUCUUAACUGUGUUGCGUUUGGUCGAAAUAUGUGCGGUGGAAAGAAAACAUGGCUGAUUAAACUGAUAAAUGGUCUUUCUUGUGUUUAUAGAAUACCUAAAAUGAUUCUUCGUUAAAGGUCCAUCUUAAAUGAAUCUAUGUUUUCGAACGACUUAGGGCAAAAGGACGACAUGGUUGGUUAAAUUGAUAAAAGAUCCUUUCUUCUGUUUAUGGAAAACCUUAAACGAUUCUUCGUUAUAGGUCCAUCUUAACUGUGUUGUGUUUGGUCGAAAUAUGUGCUGUGGAAAGAAAACAUGGUCGGCUAAACUGAUAAAUGGUCGUUUCUUGUGUUUAUAGAAUACCUCAAAUGAUUCUUCAUUAAAGGUCCAACUUAGCUGUGUUGCCUUUGGUCGAAAUAUGUGCGGUGGAAAGAAAACAUGGAUGGUUAGACUGAUAAAUGGUCUUUCUUGUGUUUAUAGAAUAACUCAAAUGAUUCUCCGUUAAAGGUCCAUCUUAGCUGUCUUGCGUUUGGUCGAAAUAUGUGCGGUGGAUAGAAAACAUGGCUGAUUAAACUGAUAAAUGGUCUUUCUCGUUUUUAUAGAAUACCUUAAAUGAUUCUUCGUUAAAGGUCCAUCUUAACUGUGUUGCGUUUGGUCUAAAUAUGUGCGGUGGAAAGAAAACAUGGCUGGUUAAACUGAUAAAUGGUCUUUCUUGUGUUUAUAGAAUACCUAAAAUGAUUCUUCGUUAAAGGUCCAUCUUAAAGGAAUCUUUGUUGUCGAACGACUAACGGCAAAAAGAAAACACGGCUGGUUAAACUGAUAAAUGGUCCUUUCUUGUUUUUAUGGAAUAACUCAAAUGAUUCUCCGUUAAAGGUCCAUCUUAACUGUGUUGCGUUUGGUCGAAAUAUGUGCUGUCGAAAGAAAACAUGGUUGGUUAAUCUGAUCAAUGGUCUUUUUUGUGUUUAUAGAAUACCUCAAAUGAUUCUUCGUUAAAGGUCCAUCUUAGCUGUGUUGCGUUUGGUGGAAAUAUGUGCGGUGGAAAGAAAACAUGGAUGGUUAGACUGAUAAAUGGUCUUUCUUGUGUUUAUAGAAUACCUAAAAUGAUUCUUCGUUAAAGGUCCAUCUUAAAUGAAUCUAUGUUUUCGAACGACUUAGGGCAAAAGGACGACAUGGUUGGUUAAAUUGAUAAAAGGUCUUUUUAUUUGUUUAUAGAAAACCUUAAAUGAUUCUUCGUUAUAGGUCCAUCUUAACUGUGUUUCGUUUGGUCCAAAUAUGUGCGCUGGAAAGAAAACAUGGCUCGUUAAACUGAUAAAUGGUCUUUCUUGUGUUUAUAGAAUACCUCAAAUGAUUCUUCGUUAAAGGUCCAUCUUAAAUGAAUCUUUUUUUUCGAACGACUUACGGCAAAAAGAAAACAUGGUCGGCUAAACUGAUAAAUGGUCCUUUCUUGUGUUUAUGGAAAACCUUAAAUGAUUCUUCGUUAAAGGUCCAUCUUAACUGUGUUUCGUUUGGUCCAAAUAUGUGCGCUGAAAAAGAAAACCUAGUUGGUAAAAUUGAUAAAAGGUCCUUUCUCGUGUUUAUGGAAAACCUUUGCUAAAGUUCCAUCUUAAAUGAGUUGCGUUGGUCGUAAUAUGUGCGGUGAAAUAAAAAAAAUGACUGUUGAAAUUGAUGAAUGUUCCUUUCUUGUCUUUAUAUAAAAGAUUUUAAUGAUUGUUCCUUUGAGUUCCAUCGUAAAUAUAUUGCGUUUGGUCGGACUACUGGAAAACAUUAAAUGAUUCUUCGUUAAAGGUCCAUCUUAGCUGUGUUGCGUUUGGUCGAAAUAUGUUCGGUGUAAAGAAAACAUGGAUGGUUAAACUGAUAAAUGGUCUUUCUUGUGUUUAUAGAAUACCUCAAAUGAUUCUUUGUUAAAGGUCCAUCUUUAAUGAAUCUUUGUUGUCGAACGACUUACGGCAAAAAGACGACAUGGUCGGUUAAAUUGAUAAAUGUUCCUUGCUUGUGCUCAAAGCAAACCAUACAAUAAUUCUUCGGUAAAGUUCCAUCUGGAACGAAUUGUGUUUGGUCAAUCUACUGACAGUGAAAAGAGUUGCGUUUGGUCGAACCAUGUGUGGUGAAAAGAAAAUAUGGCUGUUGAAACUGACAAAUGGUCCUGGCUUCUCUUUAUUAAAAGUCAUAAAUAUCUCUUGGUUUAAGGUCCAUCUUAAAGGUGCUGUUUUUUGUCAAAAUACGCUAAUUGAAUACAACACCGGGGUUUUCAAACUGUUGAAUGCUCUAUCCCUGUAGUGAAAAAAGUGAGUUUAUACUUUGUUCUUGGUUAAAGAGCCAUGCUUGGUCAACAUUUGUUUGAUGGUGGGAAAAAAGGACUAUUUCAUUUAACUUUUUUUUAUUUAAAAAUUUGCAUAAAUUCUUGAAAUGUUGAUUGGUGAAAAGUUCUUGAUAAAGAGGCAUUGAAUGCUGAUAAUAGUCAAAUUAUAUAUCUGACUAUAUAUCUGAAAACUAUAAAUUAUUUUUCGAUUCAAAGCAGCAGCAAUUUUGAAGUUAACUUGAUAAAGUAAAAAAUUGAAGAAAAUAUUAGUCUAGCUAUAAAAGUCUGCAUAUUCUAGCUAUAAAAUAAAGUACCCAUUGACAACAGUUUUCAAAGAACAAUGAAUCUAACUUUUUUUAAGAGUUCUUUUUAAGCAUUGGCUGCCAAGAGCCUUCAACUCAAGAUGUGGUAAUGUAACCAGCUCAAGUGAGCUGGACACCGUGGCGAGUUGACUGGAGACUGCUGCAAAAAGGCGAAAUGGCAAUUCCUGUUGCCAACGAAGCUAAAGAGCCAACAGACGAUAAUUAAAUUGAGAUAAAUGCUGUUUAGCUGAAGAGUCGAAAAAGAUCGAUAUGAAGAAGUAUGAUUCUUUGGAACUCAGAGACAUGACAUUCCAAUGCCGAAAAAGAUAUUGAGCAGAAUACAUCCAUUGCAGCAUUCCAGGAGAAAACUGCUAAAGGCACAAGGAGUAGGUCCAUCUUAAAGGUGCUGUUUUUUGUCAAAAUACGCUAAUUGAAUACAACACCGGGGUUUUCAAACUGUUGAAUGCUCUAUCCCUGUAGUGAAAAAGAGUUCUUUUUAAGCAUUGGCUGCCAAGAGCCUUCAACUCAAGAUGUGGUAAUGUAACCAACUCAAGUGGUAAUCUUUAUGGAGCUGGACACCGUGGCGAGUUGACUGGAGACUGCUGCAAAAAGGCGAAAUGGCAAUUCCUGUUGCCAACGAAGCUAAAGAGCCAACAGACGAUAAUUAAAUUGAGAUAAAUGCUGUUUAGCUGAAGAGUCGAAAAAGAUCGAUAUGAAAAAUAUGAUUCUUUGGAACUCAGAGACAUGACAUUCCAAUGCCGAAAAAGCUAUUGAGCAGAAUACAUUCAUUGCAGCAUUCCAGGAGAAAACUGCUAAAGGCACAAGGAGUAGCAUUGGCUGCCAAGAGCCUUCAACUCAAGAUGUGGUAAUGUAACCAACUCAAGUGGUAAUCUUUAUGGGUAUUUUUUAUAUAUAUUAUAUUACAUCAGAUUAUGAUCAUUUAUGGUUGAAAUUCAAACAGAGAUCUUUAAAUUGCAGAAUUCUAACGGAAAGUAAACGCUUUUCAUAGUACUUGAUAGAAUAUUUUCCAAUGAAACCUGGACAGAUAUCUUUUAAAGGUGAUAUUUAUUCGUGAUCUUAAUGUUGCUGUGAAAGUAGAAAUGUUUCUGUUUAGUAAAAUUAGAGCUAGGAGAAAAAAUUCAACUUGUUAAUCUCCAGAUCUAGAACAACUUUAAUUGCAAUAUUUUUCCACCAUGUAAAGCAGAUUUGCUAACAGAUUUAAUUGCUUGAAAUAUUUUAUUAUUCAUGCAUACCAUAGAGCUGGACACCGUGGCGAGUUGACUGGAGACUGCUGCAAAAAGGCGAAAUGGCAAUUCCUGUUGCCAACGAAGCUAAAGAGCCAACAGACGAUAAUUAAAUGGAGAUAAAUGCUGUUUAGCUGAAGAGUCGAAAAAGAUCGAUAUGAAAAAUAUGAUUCUUUGGAACUCAGAGACAUGACAUUCCAAUGCCGAAAAAGCUAUUGAGCAGAAUACAUUCAUUGCAGCAUUCCAGGAGAAAACUGCUAAAGGCACAAGGAGUAGGUGAGUUUGUUUCAAUCGCACUUUCUAAACAGUUGUUUGAAUAUAUUCAUAUCGUGUUUAUUAUGCUCAAUAUUCCACCCGAGGCCGACGUGUGAAAAAGGCAAUAAUUCAAAGAUUUCAGGUUACAAAAAAGCAGUCUAAAAUUAUCUGAUGGUGAACAGUUGUUCAGGUGUACUACAUAUAUUCUUGCAACAGAAAAUUGUAAAAUAAAGAAAGAUAGCAAUACAAUUUACAAAGAAGAAUGGAACUGAACAUAUUUACAUCAAUUUUCUACAUUUGAUGUUGGGUAUUUAAGUGACUCGCUGUCUACUUAAAUCGGAUAAGAAAUAGGCUUUUCUUUAAAAAGAUCUACAUUCAAUGAUAAGAAAAUAUGCGAAUGAAUUCAA
Molecule: non-coding RNA, 9876 nt
Organism: Rhopilema esculentum
Lineage: Eukaryota; Metazoa; Cnidaria; Scyphozoa; Rhizostomeae; Rhizostomatidae
Source: RefSeq, a predicted model, not a curated record